Molecule: ribosomal RNA, 229 nt
Filed under: uncultured bacterium
Lineage: Bacteria
Description: partial 16S ribosomal RNA
Rfam family: Bacterial small subunit ribosomal RNA
Source: RNAcentral
UCCGUAGGCGGGUAAUUAAGUCAGGGGUGAAAUCCCACAGCUUAACUGUGGAACUGCCUUAGAUACUGGUUAUCUUGAGUUUUAGUGAAGUAGAUAGAAUGUGUAGUGUAGCGGUGAAAUGCAUAGAUAUUACACAGAAUACCGAUUGCGAAGGCAGUCUACUAACUAACAACUGACGCUAAUGGACGAAAGCGUGGGGAGCGAACAGGAUUAGAUACCCUGGUAGUCC